Molecule: long non-coding RNA, 330 nt
Organism: Cynoglossus semilaevis (tongue sole)
Lineage: Eukaryota; Metazoa; Chordata; Actinopteri; Pleuronectiformes; Cynoglossidae
Exons: 3
Source: RefSeq, a predicted model, not a curated record
UUAGCUUACAUUUUUACGUUCGAGUGUCGCGUUAAUGCUACAGAUAUAACGUUGUCGCGGUCAUUAUUAUAAUAAUUAUUAUUUUUAGUAAACGUCUCAGUCUGUGGUCAGGUGAUGGACCUGCUGCCAGUGUUGGUGGUUCAUGGAGGGGCCGGCACAGUCCCCAGGGAGCGAUCAGAGCAGUCUGUGUCAGGGGUACGAUCAGCUGCUCGGGCAGGAUACGCCAUCCUGCGAGGAGGGGGCAGCAGCAUGGACGCAGUGGUGGAAGCAGUGGCACAUAUGGAAGAUAAUCCAUCUUACAACGCAGGCUGUGGCUCUGUGCUUAAUGUC